GAUGAAAGAUGGCGGCGUGCCUAAUACAUGCAAGUCGAGCGAACAGACGAGGAGCUUGCUCCUCUGACGUUAGCGGCGGACGGGUGAGUAACACGUGGAUAACCUACCUAUAAGACUGGGAUAACUUCGGGAAACCGGAGCUAAUACCGGAUAAUAUAUUGAACCGCAUGGUUCAAUAGUGAAAGACGGUUUUGCUGUCACUUAUAGAUGGAUCCGCGCCGCAUUAGCUAGUUGGUAAGGUAACGGCUUACCAAGGCAACGAUGCGUAGCCGACCUGAGAGGGUGAUCGGCCACACUGGAACUGAGACACGGUCCAGACUCCUACGGGAGGCAGCAGUAGGGAAUCUUCCGCAAUGGGCGAAAGCCUGACGGAGCAACGCCGCGUGAGUGAUGAAGGUCUUCGGAUCGUAAAACUCUGUUAUUAGGGAAGAACAAAUGUGUAAGUAACUAUGCACGUCUUGACGGUACCUAAUCAGAAAGCCACGGCUAACUACGUG
RNAcentral lists this ribosomal RNA (497 nucleotides) under uncultured bacterium. RNAcentral describes it as "partial 16S ribosomal RNA". It matches the Rfam family "Bacterial small subunit ribosomal RNA", at positions 28 to 507 of the family's 1533-position model. The record is from RNAcentral.